AUAAAAGGAUCAAGGAGUGCUCCU
RNAcentral lists this non-coding RNA (24 nucleotides) under Arabidopsis thaliana (thale cress). The record is from RNAcentral. Lineage: Eukaryota; Viridiplantae; Streptophyta; Magnoliopsida; Brassicales; Brassicaceae.